CCUACGGGAGGCAGCAGUGAGGAAUAUUGGUCAAUGGACGAGAGUCUGAACCAGCCAAGUAGCGUGAAGGAUGACUGCCCUAUGGGUUGUAAACUUCUUUUAUAUGGGAAUAAAAUGUUCCACGUGUGGGCUUUUGUAUGUACCAUAUGAAUAAGGAUCGGCUAACUCCGUGCCAGCAGCCGCGGUAAUACGGAGGAUCCGAGCGUUAUCCGGAUUUAUUGGGUUUAAAGGGAGCGUAGGGGGAUUGUUAAGUCAGUUGUGAAAGUUUGCGGCUGAACCGUAAAAUUGCAGUUGAAACUGGCAGUCUUGAGUACAGUAGAGGUGGGCGGAAUUCGUGGUGUAGCGGUGAAAUGCUUAGAGAUCACGAAGAACUCCGAUUGCGAAGGCAGCUCACUGGACUGCAACUGACACUGAGGCUCGAAAGUGUGGGUAUCAAACAGGAUUAGAUACCCUAGUAGUC
RNAcentral lists this ribosomal RNA (460 nucleotides) under uncultured bacterium. RNAcentral's name for it is "partial 16S ribosomal RNA". It matches the Rfam family "Bacterial small subunit ribosomal RNA", at positions 338 to 795 of the family's 1533-position model. The record is from RNAcentral.